This 640-nucleotide ribosomal RNA is filed under the name Paenibacillus sp. N290. Its description in RNAcentral is "bacterial SSU rRNA". It matches the Rfam family "Bacterial small subunit ribosomal RNA", at positions 116 to 745 of the family's 1533-position model. Lineage: Bacteria; Bacillati; Bacillota; Bacilli; Caryophanales; Paenibacillaceae. The record is from RNAcentral.
CGUAGGUAACCUGCCUAUAAGCCUGGGAUAACUAGUGGAACCUUUAGCUAAUCCCGGAUAAGUCAUUUCAUCGCAUGAUGAGAUGAAGAAAGAGGGUUUACGCUCUCGCUUACAGAUGGCCCUGCGGCGCAUUAGCUAGUUGGUGAGGUAAUGGCUCACCAAGGCGACGAUGCGUAGCCGACCUGAGAGGGUGAUCGGCCACACUGGGACUGAGACACGGCCCAGACUCCUACGGGAGGCAGCAGUAGGGAAUCUUCCGCAAUGGACGAAAGUCUGACGGAGCAACGCCGCGUGAGUGAAGAAGGUUUUCGGAUCGUAAAGCUCUGUUGCCAGGGAAGAGAAGGCAGAUGUUAACUACAUUUGCUUAGCGGUACCUGAGAAGAAAGCCCCGGCUAACUACGUGCCAGCAGCCGCGGUAAUACGUAGGGGGCAAGCGUUGUCCGGAAUUAUUGGGCGUAAAGGGCGCGCAGGCGGCCCAUUAAGUCUGGUGUUUAAACUCGGAGCUCAACUCCGAGUCGCACUGGAAACUGGUGAGCUUGAGUGCAGAAGAGGAGAGUGGAAUUCCACGUGUAGCGGUGAAAUGCGUAGAGAUGUGGAGGAACACCAGUGGCGAAGGCGACUCUCUGGUCUGUAACUGACG